Long non-coding RNA from Lycium barbarum (goji berry), 684 nucleotides. RefSeq lists it as uncharacterized. The record is from RefSeq and is a predicted model, not a curated record. Lineage: Eukaryota; Viridiplantae; Streptophyta; Magnoliopsida; Solanales; Solanaceae. The transcript is spliced from 3 exons.
GUAAGACAAGCAUCUAACUCACUAAAUACAAGUAAGACAUGUGGGCUAAACGAACUCAAUUCCCUAUAUAAGUAUAUUUAGCAACAAUUAACAUCAUGAUUUAUAUUUGAUUACUGUAAUCAGUUUCAGCUUAUUCAGAUAUUGUUGAAAGGUAUCUAGUAGCAUAUCGUUGAGUUGCUCGUCCAGUUUCCACAGUUGAGGUGAGCCAUCCACCCAUCCAUAGAGGUAUUUUGAAGUAAGAAUGCUCGGAAAGCGAAAAAACGAGGAUAAUAAGAAAUAUGUUCUGAUAAGCAUAAGGACGGACCGUAAACAUGCUCGACGGUCCGUCGAAUCGCCUUGUCAAUAAGUUCCUGCGAAGUAGCAAAUCAUCAGAGCAUUAUCAGAUCGUCGACUUGCACCGUCGACAUGAUCGACGGUCCGUCGAAGUGUUUCGACGGUGGAGUUCCUGCAGAGUGAUAAACGUAUACUCAGAUCGUCGAUAUGGUCGUUGAGCAUGUCGACGAGCGUCAAAGUGCAAAGACGACCCGUCGAAGUACAAGCCGAGCUGGAACAGGACUGGGAUUGAUUAUUUCGAGUUUGACUUGUAUAAAUACCUGUUUAGGUUUUAUUUUUCAGAGAUCUGGAGUUUAGACUUGUAGUAAUUACUUUUGAGUUGUUAUUGGUUUUGAAGAUUUCCAGAUGUUG